GCCGAGUCCAGUUCCCAGGGAUGUGGGUCUGUGGUUGGAAAGCGUUGGUUUUGGGAGGCCAAGGUGUGCAGACAGUCGCCGGAGAGUCCCGGAGACUUCUGGAGCCGCGUGCCACGGAGAGCAGCACUCGUAGGCUCUCGUUGUGCAGACCUAUCUAGGAAUCAGGCGCUGUGCCCACGUCCUGGGCUGGAACUGGUUAUAUUAAUGAGCAAUAUUUAAUUAAAAGCUAAUUGAAUAUUCCAGACGGCAAUUAUCUUGCAAUAGGGAUGCCAAAUCCGACACGAGGAGGCAGUCUACAGGCCUCCUAGUGCCCCUGUGGACGGCAGAGGAGAACCCGGCCUGGUCUUUCUGCGCCAUCCUCUCGCCUUCUGGUGCUGCAUCAGACAGUGCUCCACUGCUA
This 400-nucleotide long non-coding RNA is filed under the name Equus caballus (horse). RNAcentral's name for it is "lncRNA (ENSECAG00000040458.3)". Lineage: Eukaryota; Metazoa; Chordata; Mammalia; Perissodactyla; Equidae. The record is from RNAcentral.